Molecule: long non-coding RNA, 612 nt
Filed under: Vitis vinifera (wine grape)
Lineage: Eukaryota; Viridiplantae; Streptophyta; Magnoliopsida; Vitales; Vitaceae
Description: long non-coding RNA (VVIN_LNC001968)
Source: RNAcentral
CAGGUCCAAUCUCAGUCACCACCUUCUUUAUAUCUUCUUCUCCCCAGCUUCUAGGAACAUUACCAAUGAACAGACGAUGCUUUGCUUGAGAUGUUGAACAUUUUAUUUUUCUCCCCUGUGUGUUUGCAUGAGAAAGAGAGAGAGAGAAGAAAACACUCAGCAAUUUUAACAAUGCCUAGCAUUCACCAUAAGUCCAUAACCAACAUGCUUCAAAACAGCAUUUUUUUAAAAAUAAUAAUAAUUUCCCAAAAAGAGCAAUUCUAGAUCUGUUCUGCAUAAAACAAUGGAAUCAAAGAAAAUUCCCCCAAGAUUCCUUAAAACCUCUUCACUACUUCUUCUUCUUCCAUUUUUCUUUUUCUUUUUUUUUUUUCCUAGCAAGGUUUUCAGUUAAAUCCGGGGUAAUAUUUUAGGGGUAAUAAACUCAGAACAGAAAGUACCACUAAGUCAACCAAGUCUCAGAAUAUCAUUGGCUCAGAAAAACACAAUGCACAAGAAGAUUGUGUUACCUUAAAUUCAGUAUUAUUCAGCUCCUCAAUUGCUUUAGAAGCCAAUUCUACAUUUCUAAAGGUCACAAAUGCAAAGCCCUUGUUCUCACCCGAAUCUUUGCCUUUC